Molecule: long non-coding RNA, 694 nt
Organism: Pezoporus occidentalis (night parrot)
Lineage: Eukaryota; Metazoa; Chordata; Aves; Psittaciformes; Psittacidae
Exons: 2
Source: RefSeq, a predicted model, not a curated record
ACCAUUCACCCCUCCCUUUGAUGCAUUCAAAAGACUCUGAUAGAAGCAUGUACCCUGUACCCUGAAUAAUCUUCUCCAGCAAAACACCCUGAGCUACCUGUGAGCAACGUGCUGCAGCAUGACACAGGAGAGCUCAGACUGCACUAGCCUUGAGGGCAGCUCCCACUGAAGAGGCUCCUCAUUUCCCUGCUUGUUCAUACCAGGGCAUGAGUUUCAGGAAGGAGAUGGAGAUUGCAGAAUAAGAUCAUUUUGUGGCAGCGUGGAGAUCUCUGAGUCAUCCCACUCACUGCUGUCACCUGAGGACAUUUACCCAAGAGCUCUGCCAGCUAAACUGCUCCCAGGGAUGCUCUGGGUGAGGUUCUGGGAUGCUCAGUGUGUAUGUGCCACUCUGAUUCAACUCCUCCUACAACCCCUUUGUGGAGAUCAAGCACGCUCUUGCACUAAGAAAGUAACACGCAGCAGCAGCAUAGCAGAGACACAGUCUGGGAACAGGCACCGUGGACGGUGGCUUUGAGACAAGUCUGUCUAUAGCUCAUUAUCUGAUUGCAAUGAACGUGGGCAGCAGAGCACUGAGACACUCCACAGCUCCCUCACCAACUCCCGGCACUCAGAACACUUGACUCAGGUCUCAGAAAACAUUAUGCUGUCCAAAAAUAAUGAGAUUUUAAAAAUUAAUAAACUCCAACUCUGUUUA